GAUGAACGCUGGCGGCGUGCCUAAUACAUGCAAGUCGAGCGAACGGACGAGAAGCUUGCUUCUCUGAUGUUAGCGGCGGACGGGUGAGUAACACGUGGAUAACCUACCUAUAAGACUGGGAUAACUUCGGGAAACCGGAGCUAAUACCGGAUAAUAUUUUGAACCGCAUGGUUCAAAAGUGAAUGACGGUCUUGCUGUCACUUAUAGAUGGAUCCGCGCUGCAUUAGCUAGUUGGUAAGGUAACGGCUUACCAAGGCAACGAUGCAUAGCCGACCUGAGAGGGUGAUCGGCCACACUGGAACUGAGACACGGUCCAGACUCCUACGGGAGGCAGCAGUAGGGAAUCUUCCGCAAUGGGCGAAAGCCUGACGGAGCAACGCCGCGUGAGUGAUGAAGGUCUUCGGAUCGUAAAACUCUGUUAUUAGGGAAGAACAUAUGUGUAAGUAACUGUGCACAUCUUGACGGUACCUAAUCAGAAAGCCACGGCUAACUACGUGCCAGCAGCCGCGGUAAUACGUAGGUGGCAAGCGUUAUCCGGAAUUAUUGGGCGUAAAGCGCGCGUAGGCGGUUUUUUAAGUCUGAUGUGAAAGCCCACGGCUCAACCGUGGAGGGUCAUUGGAAACUGGAAAACUUGAGUGCAGAAGAGGAAAGUGGAAUUCCAUGUGUAGCGGUGAAAUGCGCAGAGAUAUGGAGGAACACCAGUGGCGAAGGCGACUUUCUGGUCUGUAACUGACGCUGAUGUGCGAAAGCGUGGGGAUCAAACAGGAUUAGAUACCCUGGUAGUCCACGCCGUAAACGAUGAGUGCUAAGUGUUAGGGGGUUUCCGCCCCUUAGUGCUGCAGCUAACGCAUUAAGCACUCCGCCUGGGGAGUACGACCGCAAGGUUGAAACUCAAAGGAAUUGACGGGGACCCGCACAAGCGGUGGAGCAUGUGGUUUAAUUCGAAGCAACGCGAAGAACCUUACCAAAUCUUGACAUCCUUUGACAACUCUAGAGAUAGAGCCUUCCCCUUCGGGGGACAAAGUGACAGGUGGUGCAUGGUUGUCGUCGGCUCGUGUCGUGAGAUGUUGGGUUAAGUCCCGCAACGAGCGCAACCCUUAAGCUUAGUUGCCAUCAUUAAGUUGGGCACUCUAAGUUGACUGCCGGUGACAAACCGGAGGAAGGUGGGGAUGACGUCAAAUCAUCAUGCCCCUUAUGAUUUGGGCUACACACGUGCUACAAUGGACAAUACAAAGGGCAGCGAAACCGCGAGGUCAAGCAAAUCCCAUAAAGUUGUUCUCAGUUCGGAUUGUAGUCUGCAACUCGACUACAUGAAGCUGGAAUCGCUAGUAAUCGUAGAUCAGCAUGCUACGGUGAAUACGUUCCCGGGUCU
RNAcentral lists this ribosomal RNA (1372 nucleotides) under uncultured bacterium. RNAcentral describes it as "bacterial SSU rRNA". It matches the Rfam family "Bacterial small subunit ribosomal RNA", at positions 28 to 1381 of the family's 1533-position model. The record is from RNAcentral.